UGCGAACGGGUGAGUAACGCGUAGGUAACCUGCCUGGUAACGGGGGAUAACUAUUGGAAACGAUAGCUAAUACCGCAUGACAUUGAUUAUCGCAUGAUAAUUAAUUGAAAGAUGCAAUUGCAUCACUACCAGAUGGACCUGCGUUGUAUUAGCUAGUUGGUGAGGUAACGGCUCACCAAGGCGACGAUACAUAGCCGACCUGAGAGGGUGAUCGGCCACACUGGGACUGAGACACGGCCCAGACUCCUACGGGAGGCAGCAGUAGGGAAUCUUCGGCAAUGGGGGGAACCCUGACCGAGCAACGCCGCGUGAGUGAAGAAGGUUUUCGGAUCGUAAAGCUCUGUUGUAAGAGAAGAACGGGUGUGAGAGUGGAAAGUUCACACUGUGACGGUAUCUUACCAGAAAGGGACGGCUAACUACGUGCCAGCAGCCGCGGUAAUACGUAGGUCCCGAGCGUUGUCCGGAUUUAUUGGGCGUAAAGCGAGCGCAGGCGGUUAGAUAAGUCUGAAGUUAAAGGCUGUGGCUUAACCAUAGUAUGCUUUGGAAACUGUUUAACUUGAGUGCAGAAGGGGAGAGUGGAAUUCCAUGUGUAGCGGUGAAAUGCGUAGAUAUAUGGAGGAACACCGGUGGCGAAAGCGGCUCUCUGGUCUGUAACUGA
Molecule: ribosomal RNA, 658 nt
Filed under: uncultured bacterium
Lineage: Bacteria
Description: bacterial SSU rRNA
Rfam family: Bacterial small subunit ribosomal RNA
Source: RNAcentral